UCGACUACUUUAUAAAAUGGCGUGACGUUUGUUAUGUUUCAGUGAAUUUAAAACAUUAAAACAAAUAAUUAAACCAAUUUCUUGCUGUAUGAUACUCGCUAUGAAAAGUGGGGAGACAUAAGACAUUCCAUAGUUACGAGGUGUUUAAAAUCAUCUCGAGGAAGAAGGAGGAGAAAGAAAAAGAAGGCGAAGAAGAAGAAAAAGAAGACGACGACGACGAUGACGAAGACGAAGAAAAAGGAGGUGGGCAAGACUUUACAUUAAACCAUGGCGUGCGACGACUGCACAUCUUGGUUCCACGUCGGAUUUAUGAAGAUGGCAACGGCUGUUAUCCUUCUUUCAUCCUAUUGGAUGUGUCAAGGAUCUGGUGUGGCUAAAGGGUACCUAACUUUGCCACUCAACAUCAGUGUUUUCUCCUUUCCCAGUCUGCUCAUUGUCUGAUACUUCACAUAUCACCAUUGGUUAUGAAGACUUGUGUGUUGGGUGGCCAGGUAUUGAGCAAGGCAUAUCAGAGAGAGAAGAGGAAUAAUUGGUGCCAAGGUGCUAGGUCAUGAAGCUGGGAUUGGAGCAUGCUAAUUUUUUGGACAGGAGACCCGGGACAGGAGAGGAGACUCACGACAGGAGAGGAGCCCAGGACAGGACAGGAGACCCACGACAGGAGAGGAGCCCAGGACAGGACAGGAGACCCACGACAGGAGAGGAGCCCAGGACAAGACACGAGCAACCAACUACCAUUUAUUGAGAAGCUGCAAACACUGCCACUCCUGAGUACUAGCGCGUGCCCACUUAUGUACGAGGUUUUCGUCAGGCUGACAGAAGUUGUAAGUGUGUAAAUCAUUGAUGCUAGAACUGUUGUAUAAAUGCACAUUGUGUAAAACGUCAAGUUGUCUAGCUACCGUGUGUACAUCGUUACUCU
Priapulus caudatus is the source of this 916-nucleotide long non-coding RNA. RefSeq lists it as uncharacterized. The transcript is spliced from 4 exons. The record is from RefSeq and is a predicted model, not a curated record. NCBI's taxonomy places the organism in Eukaryota, Metazoa, Priapulida, Priapulimorpha, Priapulimorphida, Priapulidae.